ACGCUCGACACCUACGGGAGGAGCAGUGGGGAAUAUUGCACAAUGGAGGAAACUCUGAUGCAGCGACGCCGCGUGAGGGAAGAAGGUCUUCGGAUUGUAAACCCCUGUUGUCAGGGACGAUGAUGACGGUACCUGACGAGGAAGCCACGGCUAACUACGUGCCAGCAGCCGCGGUAAUCUGAGCGGGCUGGCAAGGC
Molecule: ribosomal RNA, 197 nt
Filed under: uncultured bacterium
Lineage: Bacteria
Description: partial 16S ribosomal RNA
Rfam family: Bacterial small subunit ribosomal RNA
Source: RNAcentral